AAUCAACGCUGGCGGCGUGCCUCAGACAUGCAAGUCGAACGCGAAAGUUUCCUUCGGGAGAUGAGUAGAGUGGCGCACGGGUGAGUAACACGUGAGCAAUUUACCUUCGGGUGGGGAAGUACUAACCGGAAACGGUUGUUAUACCGCAUAAUGCAGCGGCAUCAAUGAUGACAGUUGUUAAAGCGGGGGAGUUGGAGCAAUCCGACCUCGCGCCUGAAGAGAAGCNCGCGGCAGAUUAGCUAGUUGGUAAGGUAA
RNAcentral lists this ribosomal RNA (255 nucleotides) under uncultured bacterium. RNAcentral describes it as "partial 16S ribosomal RNA". It matches the Rfam family "Bacterial small subunit ribosomal RNA", at positions 32 to 260 of the family's 1533-position model. The record is from RNAcentral.